This 76-nucleotide transfer RNA is filed under the name Candidatus Margulisbacteria bacterium GWD2_39_127. RNAcentral's name for it is "tRNA-Val". It matches the Rfam family "tRNA". Rfam says of the family: Transfer RNA (tRNA) molecules are approximately 80 nucleotides in length. Their secondary structure includes four short double-helical elements and three loops (D, anti-codon, and T loops). Further hydrogen bonds mediate the characteristic L-shaped molecular structure. tRNAs have two regions of fundamental functional importance: the anti-codon, which is responsible for specific mRNA codon recognition, and the 3' end, to which the tRNAs corresponding amino acid is attached (by aminoacyl-tRNA synthetases). tRNAs cope with the degeneracy of the genetic code in two manners: having more than one tRNA (with a specific anti-codon) for a particular amino acid; and 'wobble' base-pairing, i.e. permitting non-standard base-pairing at the 3rd anti-codon position. The record is from RNAcentral. Lineage: Bacteria; Bacillati; Candidatus Margulisiibacteriota. RNAcentral also lists the same sequence under 3 other names.
GGGCGCUUAGCUCAGCUGGGAGAGCAACUGGUUUACACCCAGUAGGUCGGCAGUUCGAUCCUGUCAGCGCCCACCA